Molecule: ribosomal RNA, 1307 nt
Filed under: metagenome
Description: SSU rRNA
Rfam family: Eukaryotic small subunit ribosomal RNA
Source: RNAcentral
AUACCGGGCCUUUUUGGGCUUGGUAAUUGGAAUGAGGGAGAGUUAAACGGACCAUCGAGUAUCCAUUGGAGGGCAAGUCUGGUGCCAGCAGCUGCGGUAAUACCAGCUCCAAUAGCGUAUAUUAAAGUUGUUGCAGUUAAAAAGCUCGUAGUUGGACUUGUGUGCGCUGUCCGCGGGUGGCCUGCGCCCAAAAGGGCGUUUCGGUUCGGCCCCGGUGGCGCCUUGAAAUCUGCAGCUGGGGGGACGUUGGCCUUAACUGGUCGGCGACCGCACGCCGGCUGCUCGGUUACUGUGAGAAAAUUAGAGUGUUCAAGGCAGGCAUUGGGUGCAAUUGAAUACAUUAGCAUGGAAUAAUAAAAUAUGGCUCCUGCCGUAUUUUGUUGGUUUUGACUGGUGGGAGUAAUGAUUGAUAGGGACGGUUGGGGGUGCUAGUAUUGAGCGGCCAGAGGUGAAAUUCAUGGAUUCGCUCAAGACUAACUUAUGCGAAAGCAUUCACCAAGGACGUCCUCUUUAAUCAAGAACGAAAGUUGGGGGAUCGAAGACGAUCAGAUACCGUCGUAGUCUCAACCAUAAACUAUGUCGACUUGGGAUCGGCGGUAGUUUUUUCAUUAAGACACUGUCGGGACCACGGGAGAAAUCAAAGUGUCUGGACUCUGGGGGAAGUAUGGUCGCAAGGCUGAAACUUGAAGGAAUUGACGGAAGGGCACCACCAGGAGUGGAGCCUGCGGCUUAAUUUGACCCAACACGGGGAAACUUACCAGGUCCAGAGAUGUAGAGGAUUGACAGAUUGAAGCUCUUUCUUGAUCACUUCGGUGGUGGUGCAUGGCCGUUCUUAGUUGGUGGAGUGAUUUGUCUGGUUAAUUCCGUUAACGAUCGAGACCUCAGCCUGCUAGUGUAGUCGGCUGGAUUGCCUUUGGCGAUCCGUGAUUUCGACUUCUUAGAGGGACAAUCGACGCGCAGUCGAUGGAAGUUUGAGGCAAUAACAGGUCUGUGAUGCCCUUAGAUGUUCUGGGCCGCACGCGCGCUACACUGCUGGGCUCAGCGAGUUUUACUUGGCCGAGAGGCCCGGUUAAUCUUGUGAAAUCCCAGCGUGCUUGGGCUCGCCUCCUGCAACUGGAAGCGCCAACGAGGAAUUCCUAGUAGACGCAGGUCAUCAACCUGCAUCGAUUACGUCCCUGCCCUUUGUACACACCGCCCGUCGUUCCAUAAGAGUGAGGCAUCCGGUGAAUUCUCGGGAGAGCCUGGGCGUGGCCAGCAAUGGUCUGCUCGGGUUUGAACUUGCAUAAACUUGGUGCCUAUGAUUAGGG